RNAcentral lists this unclassified non-coding RNA (200 nucleotides) under soil metagenome. Its description in RNAcentral is "partial contains internal transcribed spacer 2 and large subunit ribosomal RNA". The record is from RNAcentral.
UGUUCGAGCGUCAUUUACACCCUCAAGCUUUAGCUUGGUGUUGGGCUAUUGCCACCGGCAUGCCUGAAAAUCAGCGGCGAAUUUGAGCCUCUGGCGUAAGCGCAUUGAAAUUACCGCUGAGCCUCUGGUGAGAAGUCUGCCAAAGACUAGAUAUUCCAUAUUUUGACCUCGGAUCAGGUAGGGAUACCCGCUGAACUUAA